AUAACAUUCGGACCGUCGGUCUACCGAGCAACUCCACCCGCUCGGUGGAAGAUCUUCACUAUUCCGU
Molecule: microRNA precursor, 67 nt
Filed under: Bombyx mori (domestic silkworm)
Lineage: Eukaryota; Metazoa; Arthropoda; Insecta; Lepidoptera; Bombycidae
Description: mir-2774 microRNA precursor family
Rfam family: mir-2774 microRNA precursor family
Source: Rfam by way of RNAcentral